CCUUCAUUCUCUUUAUUUGUAUUACAAAAUCAUAUCAUACCCAAAAUAUUAACAUCAUUGUUUUUAAAUUUGAUUAAAUAAAGAUCUAAAAAACCCUAGCUUUUUUUUUUUCUUUAUUUGAGAAGUAAUGGAGGGAGAAGAAAUAGAAUAUAGUUAAUAGACCCGUUUCCCCAAUCAUAUGGAGCAGCACAACCAAACACAGAACCAGAGCCACCACCUAACCCAUACCCACAGCCCAACAUGGGGUACCUGGGAGGAGCUCCUCUUAGCAUGCGCCGUCAAACGCCACGGUUUCAAGAACUGGGAUUCUGUCGCCAUGGAAGUCCAAACCAAAAGCUCCCUCCCCCACCUUCUCACCACCGCCGAGAACUGCCAGCAAAAAUACCAUGACCUCCACCGACGCUUCACCACCACCG
This 416-nucleotide unclassified non-coding RNA is filed under the name Hevea brasiliensis (rubber tree). Lineage: Eukaryota; Viridiplantae; Streptophyta; Magnoliopsida; Malpighiales; Euphorbiaceae. The record is from RNAcentral.